Molecule: ribosomal RNA, 465 nt
Filed under: uncultured Klebsiella sp.
Lineage: Bacteria; Pseudomonadati; Pseudomonadota; Gammaproteobacteria; Enterobacterales; Enterobacteriaceae
Description: bacterial SSU rRNA
Rfam family: Bacterial small subunit ribosomal RNA
Source: RNAcentral
CCUACGGGUGGCAGCAGUGGGGAAUAUUGCACAAUGGGCGCAAGCCUGAUGCAGCCAUGCCGCGUGUGUGAAGAAGGCCUUCGGGUUGUAAAGCACUUUCAGCGGGGAGGAAGGCGUUAAGGUUAAUAACCUUGGCGAUUGACGUUACCCGCAGAAGAAGCACCGGCUAACUCCGUGCCAGCAGCCGCGGUAAUACGGAGGGUGCAAGCGUUAAUCGGAAUUACUGGGCGUAAAGCGCACGCAGGCGGUCUGUCAAGUCGGAUGUGAAAUCCCCGGGCUCAACCUGGGAACUGCAUUCGAAACGGGCAGGCUAGAGUCUUGUAGAGGGGGGUAGAAUUCCAGGUGUAGCGGUGAAAUGCGUAGAGAUCUGGAGGAAUACCGGUGGCGAAGGCGGCCCCCUGGACAAAGACUGACGCUCAGGUGCGAAAGCGUGGGGAGCAAACAGGAUUAGAUACCCGGGUAGUC